AGAGAUAUAGCUGGGUCAAAUGGUGGUUCCAUUCCAAGUUUUCUGAGAAAUUUUCAUAUCACUUUCCAUAUGGUUGAACCAAUUUGUAUUCCCACCAGCAAU
This 102-nucleotide microRNA precursor is filed under the name Marmota monax (woodchuck). Lineage: Eukaryota; Metazoa; Chordata; Mammalia; Rodentia; Sciuridae. The record is from RNAcentral.